UACGAAGGGUGCAAGCGUUACUCGGAAUUACUGGGCGUAAAGCGUGCGUAGGUGGUGAGUUAAGUCUGUCGUGAAAGCCCCGGGCUCAACCUGGGAAUGGCGAUGGAUACUGGCUCGCUAGAGUGCGGUAGAGGAGAGUGGAAUUCCUAGUGUAGCGGUGAAAUGCGUAGAGAUUAGGAAGAACACCAGUGGCGAAGGCGACUCUCUGGACCGUAACUGACGCUGAGGCAUGAAAGCGUGGGGAGCAAACAGG
This 253-nucleotide ribosomal RNA is filed under the name uncultured bacterium. Its description in RNAcentral is "partial 16S ribosomal RNA". It matches the Rfam family "Bacterial small subunit ribosomal RNA", at positions 524 to 776 of the family's 1533-position model. The record is from RNAcentral.